Molecule: ribosomal RNA, 491 nt
Filed under: [Actinobacillus] rossii
Lineage: Bacteria; Pseudomonadati; Pseudomonadota; Gammaproteobacteria; Pasteurellales; Pasteurellaceae
Description: bacterial SSU rRNA
Rfam family: Bacterial small subunit ribosomal RNA
Source: RNAcentral
AUUGAACGCUGGCGGCAGGCUUAACACAUGCAAGUCGAACGGUAACAGGGRGAAAGCUUGCUUUCUUUGCUGACGAGUGGCGGACGGGUGAGUAAUGCUUGGGAAUCUGGCCUAUGGAGGGGGAUAACUACGGGAAACUGUAGCUAAUACCGCGUAGWAUCGRAAGAUGAAAGUGUGGGACCGYAAGGCCACAUGCCAUGGGAUGAGCCCAAGUGGGAUUAGGUAGUUGGUAAGGUAAAGGCUUACCAAGCCGACGAUCUCUAGCUGGUCUGAGAGGAUGACCAGCCACACUGGAACUGAGACACGGUCCAGACUCCUACGGGAGGCAGCAGUGGGGAAUAUUGCACAAUGGGGGGAACCCUGAUGCAGCCAUGCCGCGUGAAUGAAGAAGGCCUUCGGGUUGUAAAGUUCUUUCGGUGAUGAGGAAGGCAACUACUUUAAUAGAGUAGUUGAUUGACGUUAGUCACAGAAGAAGCACCGGCUAACUCCGU